UGCGUAGGCGGGGCAAUUAGUCAGUGGUGAAAUCCUGCGGCUUAACCGUAGAACUGCCAUUGAUACUGUUGCCCUUGAGUAUAGUUGAGGUGGGCGGAAUGUGUAAUGUAGCGGUGAAAUGCAUAGAGAUUACACAGAACACCAAUUGAGAAGGCAGCUCACUAAGCUAUAACUGACGCUGAGGCACGAAAGCGUGGGGAGCGAACAGGAUUAGAUACCCUGGUAGUCC
RNAcentral lists this ribosomal RNA (229 nucleotides) under uncultured bacterium. RNAcentral describes it as "partial 16S ribosomal RNA". It matches the Rfam family "Bacterial small subunit ribosomal RNA", at positions 568 to 796 of the family's 1533-position model. The record is from RNAcentral.